This 490-nucleotide ribosomal RNA is filed under the name uncultured bacterium. RNAcentral's name for it is "partial 16S ribosomal RNA". It matches the Rfam family "Bacterial small subunit ribosomal RNA", at positions 30 to 507 of the family's 1533-position model. The record is from RNAcentral.
AUUGAACGCUGGCGGCAGGCCUAACACAUGCAAGUCGAACGGUAACAGGAAGAAGCUUGCUUCUUUGCUGACGAGUGGCGGACGGGUGAGUAAUGUCUGGGAAACUGCCUGAUGGAGGGGGAUAACUACUGGAAACGGUAGCUAAUACCGCAUAACGUCGCAAGACCAAAGAGGGGGACCUUCGGGCCUCUUGCCAUCGGAUGUGCCCAGAUGGGAUUAGCUUGUUGGUGGGGUAACGGCUCACCAAGGCGACGAUCCCUAGCUGGUCUGAGAGGAUGACCAGCCACACUGGAACUGAGACACGGUCCAGACUCCUACGGGAGGCAGCAGUGGGGAAUAUUGCACAAUGGGCGCAAGCCUGAUGUAGCCAUGCCGCGUGUAUGAAGAAGGCCUUCGGGUUGUAAAGUACUUUCAGCGGGGAGGAAGGGAGUAAAGUUAAUACCUUUGCUCAUUGACGUUACCCGCAGAAGAAGCACCGGCUAACUCCGUG